AAUUUUUGUAAUGGACGUUGGUAAUUUUUACAAAAAAGAAACUUCCCUCAAGGAAGCAACUAGUCUCGAGACAUUCCUUGACUCUGUUUCUAUUACACGCCGUUACAUGGUAGGAAGAGCAACACAUUUGAAGACAACCGUAUAUCAUGCAUCUAAGGAAGUUUCAACGGAAGCUGAUUUUCAAGAUAUUUUUAAGCUUCAGCACUAUCCAUAUGAUUUGAAACCUACUGUUAUGCAAGUACAUGUAUUAGUAGAUUUCAGUGUGAGCAGUUGGGAUCGUUUCAUUCCAAUCGAAUACAGACAGUAUUACACUGCUUUGGACGAGUA
Long non-coding RNA from Daphnia magna, 327 nucleotides. RefSeq lists it as uncharacterized. Lineage: Eukaryota; Metazoa; Arthropoda; Branchiopoda; Diplostraca; Daphniidae. The transcript has 2 exons. The record is from RefSeq and is a predicted model, not a curated record.